GGGGGUAGAUAGGUGCUGGUGUGCCUUCUGGUCUUCAAAAUCAGUAUAGGGCGUUAAUAGCGUCCUGGGUGGGUUCGAUUCCCACAUGCUCCC
RNAcentral lists this transfer RNA (93 nucleotides) under Sporanaerobacter sp. PP17-6a. RNAcentral describes it as "Selenocysteine transfer RNA". It matches the Rfam family "Selenocysteine transfer RNA". The record is from Rfam by way of RNAcentral. Lineage: Bacteria; Bacillati; Bacillota; Tissierellia; Tissierellales; Sporanaerobacteraceae.